Molecule: ribosomal RNA, 375 nt
Filed under: uncultured bacterium
Lineage: Bacteria
Description: bacterial SSU rRNA
Rfam family: Bacterial small subunit ribosomal RNA
Source: RNAcentral
UUCCACUCUAGCGAGACUGCCGGUAAUAAACCGGAGGAAGGUGGGGAUGACGUCAAAUCAUCAUGCCCCUUAUGACCUGGGCUACACACGUGCUACAAUGGUUGGUACAACGAGUUGCGAGUCGGUGACGGCGAGCUAAUCUCUUAAAGCCAAUCUCAGUUCGGAUUGUAGGCUGCAACUCGCCUACAUGAAGUCGGAAUCGCUAGUAAUCGCGGAUCAGCACGCCGCGGUGAAUACGUUCCCGGGCCUUGUACACACCGCCCGUCUCUCCACGAGAGUUUGUAACACCCGAAGUCGGUGAGGUAACCUUUUGGAGCCAGUCGCCUAAUGUGGGACAGAUGAUUGGGGUGAAGUCGUAACAAGGUAACCGUUAAU